This 2274-nucleotide long non-coding RNA is filed under the name Citrus sinensis (sweet orange). RNAcentral describes it as "long non-coding RNA (CSIN_LNC000251)". Lineage: Eukaryota; Viridiplantae; Streptophyta; Magnoliopsida; Sapindales; Rutaceae. The record is from RNAcentral.
GAAUCCACUUCACAUCAACGUGGUAUACGUAGACAUCUCCAAUUUGAGGCUGCAUUGGCUGGCAAGUGUAUUACUACUUCUAAGAGCCAUAGUUCCCAUAAUGUAACCCAAGAAAGUGAUAAUUCAACAUUACCUGCUAGCUUUAGAGACUGGGAGAGUCUGAUUCCGUCUGAUAUUGAAUCAAGAGAGGUCUCCAGUGGUAGGGAAGCAACCAGCAGUUCCCAGAAUGUAGCUUCCAGGCUCUCUUUCUGCCAAUCUGAAUUUGUUAGAUCCAGUCAAAAUGAAGAAAGCCUUCCCUUGAUUGGUCCACUUCCGCCUGGUUUUAGCUUGCAUCUAAGCAGCAUGGCAGAAUUAAUGCCCAUAAGCUCAGAUCUUAUGCCAAGUAAGUUUUUGUCCACUUACAUGAGUUCACAACAGGAUAUGCUUAUUCCUGGGGGGGAGCAAUCGCUUAGAAAAGGACUCAAAUAGUUGCUUAAUUUCUUCUGCAGCUGGGAGAAUUCAUGACUAUUUGAAGAAUGACCAGCUAGAUGAUCAAGCUGUUGUGGGAGCCAGCUUGGUCAUUUCUCAAUAUACUGACAGUAUGAAACAAAUCAGUGACUCUCUGCAAAUGACACUUUCUGAGCAGCAGGCAGCCCCAUGUGAGGGCAUGAUGCUUACCUCAGAAAUUGAGGAGUUAAACCAAGGUAGCCCCAAGAAGAAAAGGCAAGUCCAUGUUUUUAAAGUUUUUCAUUCCGGCCAUUUUGAUAAUUUUUUGUUUAUUCUGGUUGUCUAACUUGAGAAUCUAUUAUGAAUCCAGGAAGAAGGCAUCAAAUAGCAGCGAGAGUGAAGACUGCAAACGUUGCAAUUGUAAGAAGUCUAAAUGCUUGAAACUGUAAGUAUGCUGGAAGCAUGUAUAGAGCCUCUUCUUAAUUCCUUUAUACUUGUUUCUUUGUCUGCUGUACGGCCAAGGCGGAUGUACGGUACAGCAGAGCAUCUCCAAAAGACUUUUUAAAUAAAAUUAUACUUCUUAUUUGAAGAGUCAUAUCAAUAUUAAACACUCCAAAAGACACGUUAAUUUAGAUUCUUCAAAUAAGAUUUGUUUCUCACUCUUCAAUAUUGGUGGUGCAAUUCACACACAUACACUAACUAUUGCUGGUCUGGUAUAAAAUCUUAAAUUUUAUGAUAUUUUAAAAAAAUUAUUAAACCAUGUAGUUUAAUAGUUUUAGCAGUUAUUACAUUAUUAAAUUAUAUGAUUUAAAAAUUUUUUCGGACUUCAACAAAUCUGAGAUCUUAACUGCUGUACGGCCAAGGCGGAUGUACGGUACAGCAGCCUGAAUCUCCAUAGUUGUAUAAUCUUUUCCCAGUCCAUUAUCUUCAUCUGCCACAAACAACAAAAUGCCAUCUAUAUUUUCCAUACCAAUACCAAAUGUGCACGACAUUCUUGUUCCUUUGCUCUUGAGACGCUUGUUUUUCUUAAUGCUGUCACUUUCUACACAGCCAUUGGCCUACGUUUUCUCAGAUUUUUAUCAAGGGUGAAUUCAUUGGAGGUUCAGAUAUUAUUCAUUCUAUGUUGACCUUAAUCUUUCGCUCAUAUCAUCUCUUAGCCCAAUUUCUAUGUCAGAAACUUACAAUGAGGCAUGGUGCAAACUGCUGUCUUCUUUAUUUUUACGUUCUUACUGUUUUUUAGUCUUGGUCUCGUAUCAUCCAUAGAAGGAUUAUUGAAUAUGACAGUAAAAUCGCAAGAAGCUGAUUUAUUUUAUUUUAUCAGUGAAGAUUAUCAUUUUUCACGUAUUGCUUUCGAACAAUGAAAGUGCUGCCGGUUUAUUUUUGUUAUUCACUUUGCGUUAGGUAACUUUUCUAAUCAAAUGUAGGAAUCCACUUCACAUCAACGUGGUAUACGUAGACAUCUCCAAUUUGAGGCUGCAUUGGCUGGCAAGUGUAUUACUACUUCUAAGAGCCAUAGUUCCCAUAAUGUAACCCAAGAAAGUGAUAAUUCAACAUUACCUGCUAGCUUUAGAGACUGGGAGAGUCUGAUUCCGUCUGAUAUUGAAUCAAGAGAGGUCUCCAGUGGUAGGGAAGCAACCAGCAGUUCCCAGAAUGUAGCUUCCAGGCUCUCUUUCUGCCAAUCUGAAUUUGUUAGAUCCAGUCAAAAUGAAGAAAGCCUUCCCUUGAUUGGUCCACUUCCGCCUGGUUUUAGCUUGCAUCUAAGCAGCAUGGCAGAAUUAAUGCCCAUAAGCUCAGAUCUUAUGCCAAGUAAGUUUUUGUCCACUUACAUGAGUUCACAACAGGAUAUGC